CCCUGGCACUGCCCCUACUGUCUGGGGCUUCAACUAUAUUUCUCCUCUAGGAGCCACGAGGCAAGCCUGCCCAGGCAUUGAUUUUCUCCUCUGUCCCUCGCCCUCAGUUGUUCUUAGUUGACUCACAAAAAGCUAUGUGUUAACUGCUUUUUCUUCAGAACAAGUGAAAGAGAAACAAAAUAAAAUGAAUCACAAUCACCUCAGAAAAAAAGGCACAUGAUUUCAGGGAAACCACAGGAUACACACGGGGGAAGAGCAGGAAGCAAACUCCCUAGUCUGUUUCUGGGUCAGACCAGCCAGAGCAGGAGGAGAGAGGUUGGUUUGCUUCUCAAGGUGUGAGCUCUGAUUUUUUGAGAAGAUGAUGGAAAAAGGAAGUUCCACACUCAGGCUCAUUUUAGUGAGAUUCAGCCAGGCCUGGCCAUGCCCAGCCACCAGUUACUGGGACAAAAACAGGACUGUGGUCAUUUCCCCCAUUGACAGGGUGCACCCAGGACAACUAAGGGCCUAUAAGGGGCCCACUGCUUCUCCCUGGGCUAAGACCCCAGGACACAUGGGAUGGGGCAUCUCAAGCGACAGGCCAGGAGUUCUCAGAGGACCCAGGUGAUAGGGCCAGAAACAGAAUAUUGGGGACCAACUGAAAUUGUAAGUAUUAAUCAUGCUCUGUUAACCAUGAUUGUUUUGUUCUGAUGAAAGAAGGCACAUUCUGACCUGGCUGGGAGCUCACCUGGAAAUGCAGCCCAUCAUCCCCACCAGGGAGCUGCCUAUUAUCAUGGAGAGAUUAACAGCCUAGUUGUAGAAACCAGAGCCUGGAGCCCUUCCCAUAUCACCAGCCCUUUGAAGACCCCCAGCCUUUGCAGAUGCUCAGGCCUUUGCAAAUCUCCAGCCUGUGUUACCUGUAAACUGCCCACUUGGCAUACCCUUGCCUACUUCCCCAGGUAAUCUUUGUCCUUCUACCCAAUAUAAGCAGCGGGCUUACGGUGAGGUGCAGAGCAGAUGUUUGGGGAUGACCUGCUGCUCACCAACGCUGCCAGCAGUACUGGAAUAAACGCUCUGCUGAAUUGGCUCAGGGAGUGACAGCAGCACGGACCCCCUGAUUGUCCGGUUACACAGGACCCCUCAGCCUCCAUCCCCAGCUGGGGUGUCAGAAGGGCCACAUCCCCCAGAGCCUGAAGGACCCUCUACAGUGUGCCCAACUCACCCUGGAGGGAGCGGUCUGAACUUCCUGGCCACAGGGCUCGGUGCACUUCUGUUAGUCGAUGGCCCAGUGGCAGUAGGACUCAUAGGAAUCGGCCUCUUCUGCUUGACUAAGGCCAGUGAAAACAAGGUCCAAAAAAUGCAUUGACAGGAAUCCUUUCAAUCCCCUGGCCAGAAGGAGAAGGCUCCACCUUCCUGGGGAACGUGUGAAGCAACAGGCUAUGCACAGUUUAAUUUUGAUUAUCAACAAAGUCAACUUUUGAGCAAAAUAAAAAUUAAUUAAAUACACA
This is a long non-coding RNA of Myotis myotis, 1484 nucleotides long. RefSeq lists it as uncharacterized. NCBI's taxonomy places the organism in Eukaryota, Metazoa, Chordata, Mammalia, Chiroptera, Vespertilionidae. The record is from RefSeq and is a predicted model, not a curated record. The transcript is spliced from 4 exons.